Tachysurus fulvidraco (yellow catfish) is the source of this 2440-nucleotide long non-coding RNA. RefSeq lists it as uncharacterized. The transcript is spliced from 3 exons. The record is from RefSeq and is a predicted model, not a curated record. NCBI's taxonomy places the organism in Eukaryota, Metazoa, Chordata, Actinopteri, Siluriformes, Bagridae.
AGGCCUAUAUAUGUCCCUUCUAACACACGAUCCAUUUGCCUGAAGAAGACCCGGUAGGGUCGAAACGUUGCUUUUUAAUAAAUUGGGGGUAUAAACAGUGUUGCGGUCAUUACAUUUAUUUUUUUUUUUACUUUAGCAGUUUCUUUUGUCCUGCACCUGCUAGAAGGUGGGAUAUGUACACAAUUACUUAUUUAACUGUUUUUGCUGUGCUCACAUAUUUAAAACAAAUGUGUACCUCCAACUACGAGCAAGCUAUUCAGAACAAUAUCAUCAUGCUUGAUCUCAGGAGUAACUCACAGAAGAAGUCCCUAAAACCAAAACAAAUCACAGCAUACAGCUUGAGACACACAAUCUCUCACUAGAAAAAAAUGAGUAGAACUUCAGAGGAUGCUGGAAUUGUUGACUGCAGCCAUGCAGUGGAGGUUUCACUGGGUCUGUUGGAACUUUCAUUGAUAGGUCAACCGCAAGUUUUGUGUUCUAAUUCCCCAAAACUUGACUUUCUCAUGAGAGGAGCAGCUCCUUAUCAGAGAGAUCCUGUGACCAUGAAUAACUCCCCAACCAGAUGGAGAGAAGUAUGGUGUACUAGACUAAACUUCUAGAAUGUUCCUGUACAUCUACCUAGUCUUUUUUGUUGGAAUGUGUUAGCCACACCAGACAGUAUCUCUGCUCCUCAAGUGAGCUCCUUUAUGAUUAGCCACACUGAAGACUAACUAUUAACAGCAACAGUUACAUGGAUUACUAGCGAUUACUAGUGAUUUUCAGUGAACACACACACACACACACACUUUUGCUAGGACCAAAUCUCCAUUAAUCACCAGCGUUCACACGGGAUCGGUGCCCGUUAUGAAAAAAGGGUCUUUUCUCUGAGUGGGUCUUGUUUGGCAUGCAAAACUCCCAAAGGCUUUUGGAAGAUUAGCGUCUGCAUGUCUGAAAGAUACUUUCGAUUUUUUGCAGUUUUUCUCAGCUGGAGGGAACUGAGGAAGUCCAUCUACACAUGGCCUCUUGUGUCUCUCUCAUGAUGGAGUAAACUGCUAGUGAAGCCUGAUUAGUAGAUGAAGAGAUGUAGAGAGAAACAAGAUAUCAACCACAUCACACACUUCCACACAAAGAAAGAUUAAACUUACUGCAGAUGUACAUUUCUCCAAAACAAGAUAUAAAGCAUUCUUCAUGCUUUAUACACACACACGCACACACACUUGGACCACACCAGGUGCUGUAGGGUGUGAUGGAGUUGUUUAGCUCAUAAGCAGACUUGUGUCUCUUCUUCAGAGGCAUGUGUGGAUGAAUAGAGCAGUGAUCCUGUAACGUCACAAAUGUUUCCUUCAAGGUUCUGGAACCAUCUGGAACCAUCCUGAAAAAGAACUAAACAGUUGUUGCAAAAUUUUGGAACUUUUUUUAAAGGACCCAGACGGUUCCAGAAAACUGAACAAGAAUCACUCAGUUUCAUUUUUGAGGAACUGACAGUUUCAGAAUAAUCUAGAUCAAGCAUUUUAAGUUGCUUACAGAUCUACAGAUCUUGGACAGCUUCAUAACCUCAAAAAACUACAUGGCAACGUCUUCAACUUCUCCUCAGCACUAGUUAAAUAAACCAGGGAGGUUAGAAGCCAAAGAUGAGGAUUCAGCUGACAUCUGGAUAACCUGAACAAUGGCAAUGUCCUUUCGAUUGGUCCAAUUGCAGCACAGCCGCCUCACAGCUCCAGGAUCCGGAGUUUGACACCGAGCUACGGUUACUGUACGUGUGGGUUUCCUCCAGGUUCUAACCACUAUCUAUAUUAUGUAAGUUCGGCCGAGGAGCCUGAGGGAAUGACUGUCCUCUCCUGCCAGCAGCUGGAAAGGGACAAAGCCAUGUGCUAGAACUACUGUAGAGUGAAUGGAAUUGAAAAAAUAUAAAUAUUUUCCAGAUAAAAUAUCGUUUUCUACUGCCUGAGGAAGAGAAUUAGUCAUUCCUAAUCUGCUUUUGUCAUUUGCUUCCUUGUGGUCAGAAAUAUGUUCCUAGACACGUUAGUGUAUGUGUGUGUGUGUGUGUGUGUGUGGGCAGCCUAAUGCCUAAAAAAUAUAUAUGUAUUUUCUUUAAUAAUUGGGAUGUGUAUAAAUGAAAUAAAGGUUGUUAUUUUUAAUGCUAUCCAAAUGAACUCGUUAUCUUGUUAAUGUACAAGAACGUUUCUUUAUCCUGGCCCCGAAUACGGGUUUGCGUAGACCAGCAAACUGAUACAUUCACUAGUAAAAGCUGUGUGAUGUCUAACUGAGGUGGUGGGAAAAAAAUGAGGCAGAUGGUAAACAAAGCAAUUUUGUUUGUAUUUUGCUAGUCUAAGAAGAUUUUAGACUAGAUGAAGCUGAGCUACUGUACAUUAUGUGUGUGGGGGGAAGGGGAUUUGUUUGUAAUUGUAAAGUUUUAGAGACAACGCAUGAUCAGUCUGUGUAAUCACCUGACACAAUAAAA